UACGUAGGGGGCAAGCGUUGUCCGGAAUCAUUGGGCGUAAAGCGCGCGUAGGCGGCCCGGUAAGUCCGCUGUAAAAGUCAAGGGCUCAACCCUUGAACGCCGGUGGAUACUGCCGGGCUAGAGUCCGGAAGAGGCGAGUGGAAUUCCUGGUGUAGCGGUGGAAUGCGCAGAUAUCAGGAGGAACACCAAUAGCGAAGGCAGCUCGCUGGGACGUUACUGACGCUGAGACGCGAAAGCGUGGGGAGCAAACAGG
Molecule: ribosomal RNA, 253 nt
Filed under: uncultured bacterium
Lineage: Bacteria
Description: partial 16S ribosomal RNA
Rfam family: Bacterial small subunit ribosomal RNA
Source: RNAcentral